Molecule: ribosomal RNA, 253 nt
Filed under: uncultured bacterium
Lineage: Bacteria
Description: partial 16S ribosomal RNA
Rfam family: Bacterial small subunit ribosomal RNA
Source: RNAcentral
UACGGAGGGGGCUAUCGUUGUUCGGAAUUACUGGGCGUAAAGCGCACGUAGGCGGACGAGAAAGUCAGAGGUGAAAUCCCAGGGCUCAACCCUGGAACUGCCUUUGAAACUCCUUGUCUUGAGGUCGAGAGAGGUGAGUGGAAUUCCGAGUGUAGAGGUGAAAUUCGUAGAUAUUCGGAGGAACACCAGUGGCGAAGGCGGCUCACUGGCUCGAUACUGACGCUGAGGUGCGAAAGCGUGGGGAGAAAACAGG